UUAGCAUGGCCCUGCCCCGGAGGCGGGCGGGCGCGCGGCUCAGUCCCGCGGAGCGGAGCGGUGCGGGCGCGGAGCCGAGCGAGGCGCGGAGCUGGCUGCUGGCGGGUGCGGGGACCCUCGCCACCCGACCUGGGAGAGCGGGAUGGGACGCCGCCCGCGGGGACCUGGGUCCCCCCGGGGACCUGGCCCUCCACGCCCCGGGCCGGGGCUGCCACCACUGCUGCUUGUACUGGCGCUGGCGGCCCAUGGGGGCUGCGCAGCGCCCGCGCCCCGCGCGGAGGACCUCAGCCUCGGGGUGGAGUGGCUAAGCAGGUUUGGCUACCUGCCGCCUGCAGAUCCGGCAUCAGGGCAGCUACAGACCCAGGAGGAACUGUCCAAAGCGAUUACUGCCAUGCAGCAGUUUGGUGGUCUGGAGACCACUGGCAUCCUAGAUGAGGCCACUCUGGCCCUGAUGAAAACCCCUCGAUGCUCCCUUCCGGACCUGCCCCCUGGGGCCCAAUCGAGAAGGAAGCGGCAGACUCCACCCCCAACCAAAUGGAGCAAGAGGAACCUUUCUUGGAGGGUCCGGACAUUCCCACGGGACUCACCCCUGGGCCGGGAUACUGUGCGUGCACUCAUGUACUACGCCCUCAAAGUCUGGAGUGACAUCACACCCUUGAACUUCCACGAGGUAGCGGGCAACGCGGCGGACAUCCAGAUCGACUUCUCCAAGGCCGACCACAAUGACGGCUACCCCUUCGAUGGCCCUGGUGGCACGGUGGCCCACGCAUUCUUCCCUGGUGACCACCACACGGCAGGGGACACCCACUUUGAUGACGAUGAGCCAUGGACCUUCCGUUCCUCAGAUGCCCACGGGAUGGACCUGUUUGCAGUGGCCGUCCAUGAGUUUGGUCAUGCCAUUGGUCUGAGCCAUGUUGCCGCCCCAAGCUCCAUCAUGCAACCGUACUACCAGGGCCCCGUGGGUGACCCGCUACGCUAUGGACUUCCCUAUGAGGACAGGGUGCGUGUCUGGCAGUUGUACGGUGUGCGGGAAUCCGUGUCCCCUACUGCCCAGCUGGAUACCCCAGAGCCCGAGGAGCCACCCCUCCUGCCAGAGCCCCCCAACAAUCGGUCUAGCACUCCGCCCCAGAAGGACGUGCCUCACAGGUGCACUGCCCACUUUGAUGCUGUGGCCCAGAUUCGAGGCGAAGCAUUCUUUUUCAAAGGCAAGUAUUUCUGGAGGCUGACCCGGGACCGACACUUGGUGUCGCUGCAGCCGGCUCAAAUGCAUCGCUUCUGGCGGGGCCUGCCGCUGCACCUGGACAGUGUGGACGCCGUGUAUGAGCGUACCAGUGACCACAAGAUUGUCUUCUUCAAAGGACCAGCUGUACUGGCGCUAUGAUGACCACACACGGCGCAUGGACCCUGGCUACCCUGCCCAGGGACCCCUGUGGAGAGGUGUCCCCAGCAUGUUGGAUGAUGCCAUGCGCUGGUCUGAUGGUGCAUCCUAUUUCUUCCGAGGCCAGGAGUACUGGAAAGUGCUGGAUGGCGAGCUGGAAGCAGCCCCCGGGUACCCACAGUCUACAGCCCGCGACUGGCUGGUAUGCGGUGAGCCGCUGGCGGAUGCGGAGGAUGUAGGGCCUGGACCCCAGGGCCGCAGUGGGGCCCAAGAUGGUCUGGCAGUAUGUUCCUGCACUUCAGACGCACACAGGUUGGCACUGCCAUCUCUGCUGCUUCUGACUCCACUGCUGUGGGGCCUGUGAACCUCAGUCUCUGCCAAGGCAUCCUGAGGGCAGUGCUAGCCUUGCGGAUCAAGGAGCCAAGGGGAGCAGGGACACACUGGCCAGUACUCAGCAGGACUUGUGCUCCAAGCUUCCGGUCCCUCGCUCCUUCCUUCCUUCCUUCCUUGAACCCAGGGGUGCUGUGCCAUCUGCUGGAGUGGUCUCCAGCUGGGACAGGACGUCCCACCAAGGGCAUCCAUGCACACCUUGCCUACCUGGAGCAGCCAUAGGCAGCUCCCCUUCCCUCCUCUGCACAUCAUGCUGCUUCGUUGCACCUUGCCGGGCUGCCCAAGCCCAGCUGUCACAACCCCAGGAUGCCUUGUCUGCACCUGAGCGGCUCUGAUGGCAUCUGCACGUGGGCUGAUGAGGGGCAAACAGGGGUUCCUCGUGGUAUCCGUAGGGGCCACCAUGCCUGUUUCACAAGUAAGAGAGUUGAUGCCCCGAUGGGGGAACAGGGUGGGAGAAAGGCACCUACCCAGAAGUCUGAUCCACUGCCGUUUGCAGCAGCCAGCGCCGUAUCUGCUGGGAUAGGGGACCAGUCACACUCAGGAUCUGCCCACAGAUUCCCAGAUGCUGGCCAGGGGCCUUGCUCCAACCACCAGGAGCACAGCCACCUCUCCCCGUCCUAGAUAGGUUAGCCAUGGAGGCUGUGUCCUGUUAUCUCCCUCUCUUUGGCCAGGAGAGCAUUGUGGGUCUCCCUCGGGUGCUGUUGAUGGGGGUGGGGGGCGCCCAUAGAGAUAUUUCUUCAUCUGUCAGUACCCAUUGCUUCAGCAAGAUGCCCCCAUAUAGUUCUGGCCUGAGACCCUGCAGCUUGGACUCACAGCUGUCCCCUCCCCAGCUGCAGAAGGGCUUCUAACACCUGGAAUAAAGGUGGGCGUUCAGUUUAGGGAAGGAGGAUGGUUGGGGGAGCCCAGGGUGAUAGCAAGGGGGAGCUGCAGGGAUAAGUGUCAGGGUCCUCGGGGAGUCAUGACAAUGUUACCGCCUAACUUGGAGAUGUAGGAGCUGUGCACGGAUUGCUUCUCUGGGUGACAAACCUCCAUGGUCCAGAAAGGGGCUGAGGUUGAACCCAAGAUGGGUUAAUGAGCUCCAGAAAGGAACAGCCAAGUUCAAAGGUUCUGGGACAAGACGGGCCUGAGGAACAGGGCCACCCAGGUAGGCGUGGCUGUAGGGUAAGCAGUUUCUGUCAUUGGGCACGAGAUGAAAAUUAGUGAUCACACGCACAUACCCCCCUCCCCAACUGGCCCGGUCCCAUCUCAGGUAAGAAAGGCUUCUGUCUACCCCAGGCCAGGUUUGAGUGUUGUCAGGAUGAGUGAGCAGCUAGCGGGGCCUAAGUUUCUACCCUCCAUUUCCCAAGCCUGGCCACACCCUAGACCCACCUGUCAGACUAGGCAGGACAGAGUCAGGGGUAGGGGCAUCUGAGGUUUCCCUGUCUUGGAAGCCACCCUACUCUGCCCUCAUAUCAAAGCACGCUCCUAUGAUGUCCCAUGUUGUCCACCAGCCUGCAGGACACAGAUGUCCUAUACAGCAACAGGGAAGGGUCCAAAAAUCUUUGUCACAUAGCACUGAAAGCCAGGCCCGCAGGCUGGAGCUGUCUAGAUGCUGGUGUCACACUCAUUUUAAAACCCAAACUCUUAAUAAAAAUUUUGUACACUGGACAGGUUGACAGCUCAGUGGUAAGGUUUUGGGGUUGAUCUCCUCCUGUACAACUCCCCCACCACCACCCCCAAAAUUCUCUGUACCUCUGGUCUUGGGCUAAAUGGUCAGUGGGAACAGAGUUCUCUGAACUGCCCUCCCAUGCCCUGCCUGCCUCCAUUGCUGCAUUCGGAGGUCUUGCAGGGAGAGCAGAACAGAUUGGGUGCUAAUAAUGCAUGGAUUCCUGCAGGCUUCGCUCUGCAGUUGGACAGAAUGCAUUGCUGGGGCCCCUGUGGUUUAUGAUGUCGCUGCCCUUACAGAGGCUUCAGGAAGAACAUAAGAGCAUCUGCCCCGCCCACAGGCUGCUGGAUAUGAUGCAGACUCUGGGCACGUACUGUCCCAUGCUUCCUAUGGGAUAUGACUCCCCCUGAGGCGUGCUCUCCAGAAAACCUCGGGAAUUCCAGGCUAUCAUCUAUUUUGAGCCUCCUUCAUCAUCCCGAUCACCUUCUCUCCGGGCAAAAAGCUAACCCAGUGCCAGGUUUCCCAAAUGCUGACUCCUACCCAACCUCUGCAUCUGAUCAGCCUACCUGAAGCUUCCGGAGACCACAGCCUGCGGCAACGUCUGGCGUGACACCACAUGGUGUCCCUUUCUAGACAAGUUGUGGCUAAACACAUAUUUCUCUGUCAUUCUGACUUCUGUGGUCUGUGAGUCCUGGGCUGAGCUGGCCCUCUGCACUUAGGUGGAUGGCCCUCCUGUGACCACGGUGAAACUCCAGGAAAGAGGUCUGAGGACUCGCACCAUCCAGGGAGGGCCUAGUAGCCAUCAAGGGUAGUCAUGGGCUCUUGAGCCUUAUAAGCAAACACGUGCUCUGUGUUUGGGAAGAGGAUCAAGGAACCCCUGUGUGGCUUCAAGGGCCAGGUCACAGCCUACCCAAUUCUCAUUUUACAACAAGGCAUGACGUCUUUAUCUGACCUGGCUUUUUUCCAUGUUGCUGGUGGCUGGGAGUCCAGUCAGAGCCUGUAUAGCCUCUCUGCAAGGUUCAGCGUUUUCUCAAUGCCCCCCCCCCAUACCCUGCCUGCCCCUUUCCAUUCCUGCAGCCAGGGGUCUCCCAGGGAGAGCAGAGCACGUAGGUGCCAAUGCAUGGGCUCCUGCCGGGUUGUGCUCUGCAACUGGACAGGGCCAUGCUCUGCUGGGACCCCUGUGUUUUAUGAUGUUGCUGCACGCACCUCUGUACAGGCCAGGCAGAGGAUACUGUGAGUCCUUCAGUGUCCUACCCUGGGCUGGCAAGAUGGUUCAGCCCCUGCCAUUGAGCCUGAAGACUUGAAUUCAGGACUCCCGUGGUGGAAGGAGAGAGCAAACACCCCCAUGCUGACCUAGGACCUUCAUAUGUGUCAUGUGGGACACAUUGCCACACCCACACAAAAUAAAUGACGUGAUUUUUUUUUCUUGAUAAAAGAUACCAUUCUGCAAGGUAUCGUGGUACAUGCUCAGCACUUGGAAGCAGAGGCAGGUGGCUGUCUGUGAGCUCUGAGCUAACACUGGCUGCAUAGUGAGUUCCAGUUCAGUCAGGGCUACAUAGUGAGACCCUGUCUUUAAAAAACAACAGCCAGGCGGUGGUGGCGCACACCUUUAAUUCCAGUACUUGGGAGGCAGAGGCAGAUGGAUUUCUGAGUUCAAGGCCAGCCUGGUCUACAAAGUGAGUUCCAGGACAGCCAGGGCUAUACAGAGAAACCCUGUCUCCAAAAACCAAAACCAACCAAACAAACAAACAAAAACAACAAUAGCAAAAAACCAUCCCAUGGGCCAUGUUUCACAUUCUCUCCUGUCCCUAAACAAUUCCAGCCCUACUACCUUGGGAUCAGUUUGCCAACUUGAAGGACUGGGAUGGCUCAAUAUAGUCCUUGAUAUAUAGGAAGGUAGGCUAUCAUGCCAAGCCAAGCAAAAGCAUCAGGAACGAGACCAGGGUCACACUGCUGGGGUCAUCCCAAGAACAGCCACAGUUAACAGCUUGUGUGCUCGAGGUGCUGCAAAGAUACACUCACCUGAAUCCUGGAGCAACCCUGAGAGAGUAGAGGCAGCUGUUCCAGAUGAGAGAACUGAGAACCAAGGGGCGGCAAGUUUGUAAACCCUGGCACACAGUGAAUGCCUGACCUGCAGGCUCAGGGCUCUCUCCCUGCUGCCCAGGCCCCUGGCAGGUUAGAUCUUGAGAGUGAGACCACAGGAUGCUGGGCUCCCAGGGCACUGGCAGCAUCUUCCAGGGCUGUCCCAGCAAGAGCCUCCUCCCAACCCCCAGGGUCUUGGGUCUCAGCUGUGGCCACAGUGUUCUCUAUAGGCCGGUGUCUCCAGUUGUCUCAGUCUCUCCUGUUGCUGUCUUUCUUCAUCUGUUCCAGUUCGUGUCUUUCUCCUUGUUUGUGCCUUAGGGACCUCCUGCAUAUUGGUGUCUAGAACAGUGGUUCUCAACCUUCUUAAUGCUGAGACCCAUUAAUGAUGUUGUGGUGACAUCGCCCCCCCCCCAAUCCACCCAAGCACAAAAUUAUUUUCGUUGCUACUUCAUAACUGUAAUCUUGCUACUGUUAUGAAUCAUAAUGUAAAUAUCUGAUAUGCCAUCCUCAAAAAAGGGUCUCAACCCACUGGUUGAGGACCACUGGUCUAGGCCAUUGUAGAGCUGGUACCUCUGGUUACUGUCUUCAUUAACGUCUCUGUACUGGAGUCCCUGUUUGGCCCGGACAUCCUAUAGCUGUCCUAGCAUUCAGUUCUUCACUCAACAAACAUUACUAAAACCAGGCAGAGUAUAAGUAGAAUCUAUAAGCAUAUAUAACGCUUACAUGCUAAGCAUUUAUGUUUGCUACCAGUCAGCUGAGCUAUGCUUUUUUCUUUUCUACCCAAUAAAGUAGCUGAGACUAUCUUCCA
Mus musculus (house mouse) is the source of this 6303-nucleotide RNA transcript. It is a transcript of the gene named matrix metallopeptidase 17, with no coding region annotated. The transcript has 10 exons. The record is from RefSeq and is marked reviewed. NCBI's taxonomy places the organism in Eukaryota, Metazoa, Chordata, Mammalia, Rodentia, Muridae.